CUUCCACAAUGGACGAAAGUCUUGUGGAGCACUCCGCGUGAGUGAUGAGGUUCUUCGGAUCUUAAACUCUGUUGUAAGGGAGACAAGUGCGUUAGGUAAUGAACGCACCUUGACGGUACCUUAUUAGAAAGCCACGGCUAACUACCUGCCAGCAGCCGCGGUAAUACGUAGGUGGC
This 176-nucleotide ribosomal RNA is filed under the name uncultured Kurthia sp. Its description in RNAcentral is "partial 16S ribosomal RNA". It matches the Rfam family "Bacterial small subunit ribosomal RNA", at positions 363 to 535 of the family's 1533-position model. Lineage: Bacteria; Bacillati; Bacillota; Bacilli; Caryophanales; Caryophanaceae. The record is from RNAcentral.